This 460-nucleotide ribosomal RNA is filed under the name uncultured bacterium. RNAcentral describes it as "partial 16S ribosomal RNA". It matches the Rfam family "Bacterial small subunit ribosomal RNA", at positions 338 to 795 of the family's 1533-position model. The record is from RNAcentral.
CCUACGGGAGGCAGCAGUGAGGAAUAUUGGUCAAUGGACGAGAGUCUGAACCAGCCAAGUAGCGUGAAGGAUGACUGCCCUAUGGGUUGUAAACUUCUUUUAUAUGGGAAUAAAAUGUUCCACGUGUGGGAUUUUGUAUGUACCAUAUGAAUAAGGAUCGGCUAACUCCGUGCCAGCAGCCGCGGUAAUACGGAGGAUCCGAGCGUUAUCCGGAUUUAUUGGGGUUAAAGGGAGCGUAGGUGGAUUGUUAAGUCAGUUGUGAAAGUUUGCGGCUCAACCGUAAAAUUGCAGUUGAAACUGGCAGUCUUGAGGACAGUAGAGGUGGGCGGAAUUCGUGGUGUAGCGGUGAAAUGCUUAGAUAUCACGAAGAACUCCGAUUGCGAAGGCAGUUCACUGGACUGCAACUGACACUGAGGCUCGAAAGUGUGGGUAUCAAACAGGAUUAGAUACCCUAGUAGUC